Molecule: ribosomal RNA, 806 nt
Filed under: Streptomyces sp. Sp080513G1-07
Lineage: Bacteria; Bacillati; Actinomycetota; Actinomycetes; Kitasatosporales; Streptomycetaceae
Description: bacterial SSU rRNA
Rfam family: Bacterial small subunit ribosomal RNA
Source: RNAcentral
UGGCGGCGUGCUUAACACAUGCAAGUCGAACGAUGAACCGCUUUCGGGCGGGGAUUAGUGGCGAACGGGUGAGUAACACGUGGGCAAUCUGCCCUGCACUCUGGGACAAGCCCUGGAAACGGGGUCUAAUACCGGAUAUGACUGUCCAUCGCAUGGUGGAUGGUGUAAAGCUCCGGCGGUGCAGGAUGAGCCCGCGGCCUAUCAGCUUGUUGGUGAGGUAGUGGCUCACCAAGGCGACGACGGGUAGCCGGCCUGAGAGGGCGACCGGCCACACUGGGACUGAGACACGGCCCAGACUCCUACGGGAGGCAGCAGUGGGGAAUAUUGCACAAUGGGCGAAAGCCUGAUGCAGCGACGCCGCGUGAGGGAUGACGGCCUUCGGGUUGUAAACCUCUUUCAGCAGGGAAGAAGCGAAAGUGACGGUACCUGCAGAAGAAGCGCCGGCUAACUACGUGCCAGCAGCCGCGGUAAUACGUAGGGCGCAAGCGUUGUCCGGAAUUAUUGGGCGUAAAGAGCUCGUAGGCGGCUUGUCACGUCGGUUGUGAAAGCCCGGGGCUUAACCCCGGGUCUGCAGUCGAUACGGGCAGGCUAGAGUUCGGUAGGGGAGAUCGGAAUUCCUGGUGUAGCGGUGAAAUGCGCAGAUAUCAGGAGGAACACCGGUGGCGAAGGCGGAUCUCUGGGCCGAUACUGACGCUGAGGAGCGAAAGCGUGGGGAGCGAACAGGAUUAGAUACCCUGGUAGUCCACGCCGUAAACGGUGGGCACUAGGUGUGGGCAACAUUCCACGUUGUCCGUGCCGCAGCUAAC